AUUGAACGCUGGCGGCAGGCCUAACACAUGCAAGUCGAGCGGAUGAAGGGAGCUUGCUCCUGGAUUCAGCGGCGGACGGGUGAGUAAUGCCUAGGAAUCUGCCUGGUAGUGGGGGAUAACGUCCGGAAACGGGCGCUAAUACCGCAUACGUCCUGAGGGAGAAAGUGGGGGAUCUUCGGACCUCACGCUAUCAGAUGAGCCUAGGUCGGAUUAGCUAGUUGGUGGGGUAAAGGCCUACCAAGGCGACGAUCCGUAACUGGUCUGAGAGGAUGAUCAGUCACACUGUAACUGAGACACGGGCCAGACUCCUACGGGAGGCAGCAGUGGGGAAUAUUGGACAAUGGGCGAAAGCCUGAUCCAGCCAUGCCGCGUGUGUGAAGAAGGUCUUCGGAUUGUAAAGCACUUUAAGUUGGGAGGAAGGGCAGUAAGUUAAUACCUUGCUGUUUUGACGUUACCAACAGAAUAAGCACCGGCUAACUUCGUG
RNAcentral lists this ribosomal RNA (484 nucleotides) under uncultured bacterium. RNAcentral's name for it is "partial 16S ribosomal RNA". It matches the Rfam family "Bacterial small subunit ribosomal RNA", at positions 30 to 507 of the family's 1533-position model. The record is from RNAcentral.